RNAcentral lists this long non-coding RNA (285 nucleotides) under Elaeis guineensis (African oil palm). RNAcentral's name for it is "long non-coding RNA (EGUI_LNC025591)". The record is from RNAcentral. Lineage: Eukaryota; Viridiplantae; Streptophyta; Magnoliopsida; Arecales; Arecaceae.
CUUCCUUCGUUUUCUUCCCCUCCGACAGUCAAAAUUUUUUAAAUAUUAAAAAGAGAGAGGGAAGCACCCUUACCUCCGACGGAUGGCAAUGGUUGUGGUGGAGAAUCUGACGGAAGUGAUGGUGGAAGCCGGCAAUGGUGGAGCCCAUGGUAGAAGCCCGCGACGGUGGAAGCCAGCACCAGAUGGCGAUGGAGAUGCAGUCGCCGGCGGGAAGAGAGGGGGGGAGAGCUUGGAAAGGGAGAGGGUUUCGUGGGAAGAGAAGCGAUGGGUUAUGAGGCUCCAUAG